Molecule: transfer RNA, 151 nt
Organism: Drechmeria coniospora
Lineage: Eukaryota; Fungi; Ascomycota; Sordariomycetes; Hypocreales; Ophiocordycipitaceae
Rfam family: tRNA
About the family: Transfer RNA (tRNA) molecules are approximately 80 nucleotides in length. Their secondary structure includes four short double-helical elements and three loops (D, anti-codon, and T loops).
Source: Rfam
GGUGCUUUGGCCGAGUGGUUAAGGCGACGCCCUGCGUAAGUGUCUCGAGCACAUCUUUCAGGUGAUCAAAUAACUAACAGUAGUAAUAGUACUAUAUACAAGUCUCAAGGCGUUGGGUUCGCCCGCGUAGGUUCGAAUCCUGCAGGCAUCG